MicroRNA precursor from Chrysemys picta bellii (western painted turtle), 80 nucleotides. The record is from Ensembl. Lineage: Eukaryota; Metazoa; Chordata; Testudines; Emydidae.
UUAAAGGACCCCCUUUGCUUUAACAUGGGGGUACCUGCUGCCUAGAAAAAGUAAGUGCUUCCAUGUUUCAGUCGUGGUGG